CUGGGGAUAUAGCUCAGUUGGUAGAGUGUUUGCCUCAAAUGUACAAGUCUCUGGGUUCAAUCCCCCUCCCCACG
Molecule: transfer RNA, 74 nt
Filed under: Marmota monax (woodchuck)
Lineage: Eukaryota; Metazoa; Chordata; Mammalia; Rodentia; Sciuridae
Description: tRNA.Leu
Rfam family: tRNA
About the family: Transfer RNA (tRNA) molecules are approximately 80 nucleotides in length.
Source: RNAcentral